AUUAAGGGUAUAUGCACUAGAUG
RNAcentral lists this non-coding RNA (23 nucleotides) under Arabidopsis thaliana (thale cress). Lineage: Eukaryota; Viridiplantae; Streptophyta; Magnoliopsida; Brassicales; Brassicaceae. The record is from RNAcentral.